CCUCCAAAUAAAUUUUUAAGAGUUCACUUUUUGGAAGGGAUCGAACCAUCUCUAACGGCCAUAUGAAGUGGUUCCACUACCCUCAUUAGAGGUGUGUCGAACCCGCAGAAAUCGACCCGACCCGAUCCGACCAGAAUUUCAGCAAAAACCAAACGCUCCGCCACUGCCACCCAAAGCCGCCCAUCACCGACCAUUCGUCGCAGCAACCUCCAAGCACUGGUGACCCCGCCGACCCAACCUCCGGUGAUUUCAAAUCUGGUUUUCACCCAACUCGUUCACUGACUUGGGAUCGACAAUGAUGGACGGACUUCCCGGCAUUCAAAAUGAAAUCUGCCAUAUAUCCCUUCCCCUUUCAUUUUCACCUAAAAUCUCCCCAAAUCUCUCUCUCCAUCUCCAUCUUCCCUCUCCCCCCACCCACCGCCGACCACGAGCAGCAACGCCGACCCAAAGGUCGAGCACUGGUGACACAGCAACUCCAUCUCCGGCAACCAUGGAUUUCAAUUUUUUUUUUUUUUUCCAACCGUGCCACCUCUCUCUUCCACCGUGCUCCUCCCCCUCCCCCCUUCACCACCGACGAUUCAGGCCACCAAAAUAGGGUUUGUGCACAUCAAGACCCUUGGAUGUUCCCAAUACUCCUAAACGUUCCCAAUACUCAGCUUCCAACGAAAAGGUUAAGAAAUAAGGUAGUCCAAGGCUUCAAAACAUACCUGAUGAUCAAAAGCCUUUCUAUGGUAGUAAUAGAAAGAGGUUAUCAGAUGGCCUCGAAGAGAAAGUUCGCGAUUAAAGGACUAUAAAAGUGGUGUUCGGGGAAGACAUUCGUUGUAGAAGCGAUCUGGUGACGGGUCAUAACAGUUUUCGUGCUCAAGUUGAUAAUUCAGAUAAAAGUGUGGCCAGAGUGAAAAGGGCAUUUGAGGGUUUUCAACAGGAAGUGGAGAAGAGAUGCAAGAAGCCUAAGGAUAAGGAUAUGCAAGUUUCUAAUGGUUCAGAAAAUAAUCUAUUGACAGUUUUGGAGAAAGCACGACGCUGAAGUUGAAUUUGACAGUCUGAAAGUCUGGGCUCUACUUCAACUACUACAGUUCUGUAUGUGGUUCGGGCCCUUAAAUGUUACCAGGCUGGCCUUGCCAGUUGAUGCAUAUAUGUCAAUAUGACCUUUAUGUUUGACAUGCUUUAUACUCUGUUACACUAGGCUGUAGUUCCACUAAUUCACUAGUGUAUAUGGUUUGAGCCCUUAAACGUGAAUAGGCUAGCCACCCUAUUGAUCCACCCAUUUCAGUUUGACCUUUAUGUGCGAUAUGCAUCCUGCAUAGCAUUUCAGAUGAUUGCUAAAGUCUAUUAUUUAAAUAUUCUCAACCCUUGGUUUAUUAUAUCCCUUGCUGGAUUCAUGGUUUCCCCUUGGCAAUUUUGUUUUUUCAGUUCUUUAAUCUUCUAAUUUCGAUGCUGGCUCUUUUCAAUUGGCCAAUUCACGCAUUCAUAAUUCACACAAAGUAUUCGUCUGCCAAUCCUAAAUCACUCAAGGAUCAGUAUGGUUUCUAGUGAUUCUGUUCCACAGACAUAUUAAAGCAGUAGAUACUAAAGUUUUAUAGGCUUGAAAUGUUAGUUAAUGAGAAGGAUUGGAGCAGCCUAUUGGGUGGAGGUCACAGAGUUGGUGCAGUGGAAAAGGGGGAUCAAAAUAAGAGCCAUUGAGAAUGGCCCAUGUAAUAUCUUUAAUAAAUUGUCAAGUGCCUUCAAAGAUGGGAGAAAACUUGUACCUUGGUGAUUCUUGAUCUUUGUGGUUUUGUUUACAUUAAUGCUACAAAUGUUUGCAGAAUGGAAAUGCAUCAGAUGAUUAUUCAAGGAGAUGUUCCAAGCGACCUAAUCUGUAGGCAAUUUCUGAGGCAAGUUGCUGGCUUAUGUGUUAACAUAUGUGAAUUCAGAUAUGGAGGACGAUUUCAGUCCUGUGGAUGUGGAUGUGGAUGUGAACCUUGUUAAGAGCUUUCUUGAUUCCUUUUCUUCCCAACAAGGACCUCCCGAUCCUGCUUCCAAUUUGCUUGGGCUCAUGGGUGUACAGCUCCCACGCGAUGACAAGAAGGGCGAAUGAUUCUCUCAAUGGGCCUUGUCCAAUUUUGUAUUUUGUUUUCAGUUUAGUUGAGUGGUUUCAGGUGUAAUUUUUUGAAGAGAAAUAUGAUUUAUUGGUUUUGGGGCAUCAUGUGUAUUUCUUAGAAUUUUAAUUCCUAAAAGUACUCCUAAAAUUAGUUGUUGUUUGUUGAUGUUUUUGAGUUUAUAGUACACGUAAUUUCUAUUGGUGUUUGUAAUAGUUA
Alnus glutinosa is the source of this 2297-nucleotide RNA transcript. RefSeq lists it as uncharacterized. Lineage: Eukaryota; Viridiplantae; Streptophyta; Magnoliopsida; Fagales; Betulaceae. The record is from RefSeq and is a predicted model, not a curated record. The transcript is spliced from 4 exons.